This 782-nucleotide ribosomal RNA is filed under the name uncultured Halobacteria archaeon. RNAcentral describes it as "bacterial SSU rRNA". It matches the Rfam family "Archaeal small subunit ribosomal RNA", at positions 513 to 1291 of the family's 1478-position model. Lineage: Archaea; Methanobacteriati; Methanobacteriota; Halobacteria. The record is from RNAcentral.
AAGCGUCCGUAGCCGGCCGGACAAGUCCGUUGGGAAAUCCGUUCGCUCAACGAACGGGCGUCCAGCGGAAACUGUCCGGCUUGGGACCGGAAGACCCGAGGGGUACGUCCGGGGUAGGAGUGAAAUCCUGUAAUCCUGGACGGACCGCCGGUGGCGAAAGCGCCUCGGGAAGACGGAUCCGACGGUGAGGGACGAAAGCCAGGGUCUCGAACCGGAUUAGAUACCCGGGUAGUCCUGGCUGUAAACGAUGCCCGCUAGGUGUGGCGCAGGCUACGAGCCUGCGCUGUGCCGUAGGGAAGCCGUGAAGCGGGCCGCCUGGGAAGUACGUCUGCAAGGAUGAAACUUAAAGGAAUUGGCGGGGGAGCACUACAACCGGAGGAGCCUGCGGUUUAAUUGGACUCAACGCCGGACAUCUCACCAGCCCCGACAGUAGUCAUGACGGUCAGGUUGACGACCUUACUCGACGCUACUGAGAGGAGGUGCAUGGCCGCCGUCAGCUCGUACCGUGAGGCGUCCUGUUAAGUCAGGCAACGAGCGAGACCCGCACCCCUAGUUGCCAGCGGUACCCACGAGGUAGCCGGGUACACUAGGGGGACUGCCGCUGCCAAAGCGGAGGAAGGAACGGGCAACGGUAGGUCAGUAUGCCCCGAAUGGGCUGGGCCACACGCGGGCUACAAUGGCCGGGACAGUAGGAUGCGACCCCGAGAGGGGAAGCUAAUCUCCUAAACCCGGUCGUAGUUCGGAUCGAGGGCUGAAACUCGCCCUCGUGAAGCUGGAUUCGG